AAACCAACAGGAUUGCCUCAGUAGCGGCGAGUGAAGCGGCAAGAGCUCAGAUUUGAAAUCGUGCUUUGCGGCACGAGUUGUAGAUUGCAGGUUGGAGUCUGUAUGGAAGGCGGUGUCCAAGUCCCUUGGAACAGGGCGCCCAGGAGGGUGAGAGCCCCGUGGGAUGCCGGCGGAAGCAGUGAGGCCCUUCUGACGAGUCGAGUUGUUUGGGAAUGCAGCUCCAAGCGGGUGGUAAAUUCCAUCUAAGGCUAAAUACUGGCGAGAGACCGAUAGCGAACAAGUACUGUGAAGGAAAGAUGAAAAGCACUUUGAAAAGAGAGUGAAACAGCACGUGAAAUUGUUGAAAGGGAAGGGUAUUGCGCCCGACAUGGGGAUUGCGCACCGCUGCCUCUCGUGGGCGGCGCUCUGGGCUUUCCCUGGGCCAGCAUCGGUUCUUGCUGCAGGAGAAGGGGUUCUGGAACGUGGCUCUUCGGAGUGUUAUAGCCAGGG
RNAcentral lists this ribosomal RNA (489 nucleotides) under uncultured Pichia. RNAcentral describes it as "eukaryotic LSU rRNA". It matches the Rfam family "Eukaryotic large subunit ribosomal RNA", at positions 62 to 563 of the family's 3401-position model. The record is from RNAcentral. Lineage: Eukaryota; Fungi; Ascomycota; Saccharomycetes; Saccharomycetales; Saccharomycetaceae.